This 1080-nucleotide ribosomal RNA is filed under the name uncultured bacterium. Its description in RNAcentral is "bacterial SSU rRNA". It matches the Rfam family "Bacterial small subunit ribosomal RNA", at positions 66 to 1140 of the family's 1533-position model. The record is from RNAcentral.
GGGGCAGCAUGGUCGUUGCUUGCAAUGACCGAUGGCGACCGGCGCACGGGUGAGUAACGCGUAUCCAACCUUCCCCCUACCCGGGUAUAGCCCGCCGAAAGGCGGAUUAAUCCCCGAUACGUCCCCUGACGGCAUCAGACGGGGACGAAAGGUAUUCCGGUAAGGGAUGGGGAUGCGUCCGAUUAGCUUGUUGGCGGGGUAACGGCCCACCAAGGCAACGAUCGGUAGGGGUUCUGAGAGGAAGGUCCCCCACAUUGGAACUGAGACACGGUCCAAACUCCUACGGGAGGCAGCAGUGAGGAAUAUUGGUCAAUGGGCGGAAGCCUGAACCAGCCAAGUAGCGUGCAGGAUGACGGCCCUACGGGUUGUAAACUGCUUUUUUGCGGGAAUAAAGCGGCCCACGCGUGGGCCUUUGCAUGUACCGCACGAAUAAGGACCGGCUAAUUCCGUGCCAGCAGCCGCGGUAAUACGGAAGGUCCUGGCGUUAUCCGGAUUUAUUGGGUUUAAAGGGAGCGUAGGCCGCCUUUUAAGCGUGCUGUGAAAUACCGUUGCCCAACAACGGGGCUGCAGCGCGAACUGGAGGGCUUGAGUUCACGGGAAGCCGGCGGAAUUCGUCGUGUAGCGGUGAAAUGCUUAGAUAUGACGAAGAACUCCGAUUGCGAAGGCAGCCGGCUGUAGUGUUACUGACGCUGAAGCUCGAAAGUGCGGGUAUCGAACAGGAUUAGAUACCCUGGUAGUCCGCACGGUAAACGAUGGACGCCCGCUGUGCGCCCUUUAGGGUGCGCGGCCUAGCGAAAGCGUUAAGCGUCCCACCUGGGGAGUACGCCGGCAACGGUGAAACUCAAAGGAAUUGACGGGGGCCCGCACAAGCGGAGGAACAUGUGGUUUAAUUCGAUGAUACGCGUGGAACCUUACCCGGGCUUGAACUGCAGAGGAAAGAUCCAGAGAUGGUGAUGCCCUUCGGGGCCUCUGCGGAGGUGCUGCAUGGUUGUCGUCAGCUCGUGCCGUGAGGUGUCGGCUUAAGUGCCAUAACGAGCGCAACCCCUUUCCCCAGUUGCCAUCGGGUAAUGCCGGGCACUC